UGACCUCAAAUCGGGUGAGACUACCCGCU
Molecule: ribosomal RNA, 29 nt
Filed under: Lactarius deliciosus
Lineage: Eukaryota; Fungi; Basidiomycota; Agaricomycetes; Russulales; Russulaceae
Description: partial 28S ribosomal RNA
Source: RNAcentral